CAGUAGCCACGGUAAUACGUAGGUGGCAAGCGUUGUCCGGAAUUAUUGGGCGUAAAGCGCGCGCAGGUGGUUUAAUAAGUCUGAUGUGAAAGCCCACGGCUCAACCGUGGAGGGUCAUUGGAAACUGUUAAACUUGAGUGCAGGAGAGAAAAGUGGAAUUCCUAGUGUAGCGGUGAAAUGCGUAGAGAUUAGGAGGAACACCAGUGGCGAAGGCGGCUUUUUGGCCUGUAACUGACACUGAGGCGCGGAAGCGUGGGGAGCAAACAGGAUUAGAUACCCCCGUAUCCCUGUCUCUUAUACA
RNAcentral lists this ribosomal RNA (301 nucleotides) under uncultured bacterium. Its description in RNAcentral is "partial 16S ribosomal RNA". It matches the Rfam family "Bacterial small subunit ribosomal RNA", at positions 509 to 809 of the family's 1533-position model. The record is from RNAcentral.